Misgurnus anguillicaudatus (oriental weatherfish) is the source of this 1891-nucleotide non-coding RNA. Lineage: Eukaryota; Metazoa; Chordata; Actinopteri; Cypriniformes; Cobitidae. The record is from RefSeq and is a predicted model, not a curated record.
UCGCGGUACUUUGACGUCAUCCGGCUGAAGGUUCUUACGGCGUCGCAUGAAGUCGAACAAGCCUUUCGUUUCACACACACCCACGUGACUGCUUCGUUAUCUGAUUCAAAGGUUUAAAAUUGUGCGAUGCGCGGCGCGCCCUCAUGGGUUGUAUUGGAGUACUGCAUUACACGGAAUCGAGAUAUUUAUAUAAAAAUAGUAGUAAAAAGCCUUUUCUGCACCACUUAAUACCAUGAUAUUUUUUUAAUUGGUUCACACUUUAUACUUUUGAGACAAGGGGUAUCCUUAAUUUGUUAUUUUUGUUUGGAGUUACCAUUCGCAUGAAAUGGAACAUGCUUAUUUAAUAUAUUGUUACAUUUAUUUAUGAAUCUAUCCUUAAUUUGUGAAUCCAUUAAUUUUUGCUUUUAUUACGUUGUUUCGCUGUGAUACAGCACUUUCAGCAGCAGAGGUCCUCAUCGAGCUCUGAUUUGAAAAGCUUCGAGUAAUGAACCUUUUUCUGAUACAGUUGGGUUGAACGCUUCACUGCUUCAAGAAAGCUUCACUUCGCCAUCACUAAUCGAGACUUUCUCCAUCUUUAACCAGAAGCCCCGUCUCAGACUAAUACAGUAGGACAUCUAAAGGUGAGUUCAGACAUUUUGUCACAGGUGCUGAGUCCCAAUUCGCCUACUUAUACUACGACCUAAAAGUAUGUACUGUUUUUGUGAGGAAAAUGUACAUACUUUUGAGUGUGUAGCAAAAGAGUAUGCACGUUCUGGGACGUACUUCGAUGACGUCAUGCAACGUGAACGACAACGUGGUUGCCUAGUUACGCACACCAAACGCAGGUCGUUUGGGCGGCUGGUUAUGAUGUUCAUGUGUAACAAUGUGUGUAACAAAAGCUACUUAUUUUAAAGUCAAAAUAGUUAAAGUUUAUAGUAUAACUAUUGUUUAACGUAUUUCAUGCUUAUUUUAUACUUAUGUAUUCAAAUCAAAAAUACCGCGAUGAAAAUGAACCAUGCUUUUACUAUAGUAAAAGUGUAGUAACCAUAUUUCUUAAUAAAGUUAACAUUUGUACAGCCACAGUGUUACUACAAAUAAGUCAGUGGUUAAACUAUGGUUAGUGUAGUAAAAGGUGUUUAUUUUCAUAAGGGUUUAUAGUAAGGUAUAAAUCUAAGACAGAAACAUAAAAAUAAAUACAUAAAAAAGGCACAUGCAUGACACAGUACUACAGCCAUGGUACUUUAUUUUCACAACAUCAACCGAAUAUUACGAGACAAUGAAAUAUAACUUUAAUUAGGGUUAAACAUUUUAAUUCUUACACUUAAAAGCUGAGGGCGAAUCUCCGCUGCUGGGAUUGUGGGCUGUGGGCAAUAUUAGCCGUUAGAGUGUGGAUCGAUCUGCACUUCGAAAUCUAACCAGAAAUAGUAGACCAUCCGGGUAUCUUUGGGAUACUCAUUUCAACAUACUACGAUUUGGGACGUACUAAUUCUAGUUUCGAAUACUAUUUAGGACGGAUAGUAUGCGAAUUGGGACUCAGCAAGGGUGACUUUAUAGGGCGGAACUAAUCAAUGGCGAAGAUUGGUUCCGCCCGAAGAUGGUUUCCACCUGGACCAAAUUUUAAAAACACUUUUGCUUCCUGGUUUCUGGGGCAACCCAAUCGGGGCUUUACGAGCAACAGGACGAAGAGAAGGGCGCCACGGGUCAACAUAACCACAGGAGGAAGACCAAGGGUCACAAGAAGGGACGAAGGAGCUCCGUCCCCCUCCCCCCUGUGGAUACACUCAUCCCUGUACUGAAGUCUUCUUUGGCCCCGUCCUCCCCCUGGAAGACAGACGAGUUCUUUUUUUAAUAGUCCCCUCUUACCUUCUCUGAACCAUUUUAAAUAAUUUAAAUAAAGCUUGUUUUAUCCUUA